AGACAGUGUGACUGAGUGUGGGAGAAGAAUGGCGCCGGCGGCUGAAGGAACAAGAACAGAAACCGCUGGAAAAGCUGAGCAGGUCCGGCAGCUCGUGUUGAGAGAAAUAGUAUUUAAAGAUCUGUAGACGGAAAUUUCAAAAUCGACAGAUGAAGGCCUUGUGGCCGAAGCAUUGACUUCUGUUCCUCGGAUGCUGCCUGACCUACAGUGCUUUUCCAGUGUCACACUUUUGAACUCUUGACUGUCCAGCAUCUGCAAUCCUCACUUUCACAUCAAUGUCUGACAGUGACACUGGGACAUCGGGACUGCAACGAAUUUUGAGUGUGAUUCUGUGAGAGGAGCAAAGCACUUGCUUCUUGCUCAAGUACAUUUUCAGAAUCCAUGGGACUGGAUGAGAGACCCUACGUUGCAGCGCAGUGAGUGUGGAUCCUGAAACAGUUAUACGGCCUGAAAAGAGGAAUUCACGGCAGGGUGGGGCUGUACCCACAUUUGUGUGCAGCUGAAGUUUUGGCCAUAGAGAAACCUGAGGAAUCCCGCUCCGUAAAGAAACCAUGGAAGUGUGGCAACUGUGGGAAAGGCUUCUGUGCCCCGUCUGCUCUGGAGACUCAUCGGCGCAGUCACAGCCGAUGCUGCUCCUCUCUCUGAAUGAAGAUUGAGCUUCACCCCAGACUGCAACUUUCUUCCUUUGUCCAACAUCUGUCCUGACCCUUCAAUGACUGAGGAACAUCCGCCUCCAGAAUGGUCACCGGCUCCUGCCUGCUG
Long non-coding RNA from Hemiscyllium ocellatum (epaulette shark), 762 nucleotides. RefSeq lists it as uncharacterized. The transcript has 4 exons. The record is from RefSeq and is a predicted model, not a curated record. Lineage: Eukaryota; Metazoa; Chordata; Chondrichthyes; Orectolobiformes; Hemiscylliidae.